UUUAAAGGUCACUCAGCAUCAUUUUUGGGC
This 30-nucleotide non-coding RNA is filed under the name Rattus norvegicus (Norway rat). Lineage: Eukaryota; Metazoa; Chordata; Mammalia; Rodentia; Muridae. The record is from RNAcentral.